UGGGUGGUUGUUAGGCGGUUGCUAUGGUAACCUGGGUGGUUGCUAGGGUGUUGCUAGUCAGUUGCUAAGGUACUUGGGGUGGUUGCUAAGGUGUUGCUAGGCGGUUGCUAGGGUGUUCUGGGUGGUUGCUAGGCGGUUGCUAUGGUAACCUGAGUGGUUGCUAGGCGGUUGCUAGGCAGUUGCUAAGGUACUUGGGGUGGUUGCUAAGGUGUUGCUAGGCGGUUGCUAGGGUGUUCUGGGUGGUUGCUAGGCGGUUGCUAUGGUAACCUGGGUGGUUGCUAGGCUGUUGCUAGGCAGUUGCUAAGGUACUUGGGGUGGUUGCUAAGGUGUUGCUAGGCGGUUGCUAAGGUGUUCUGGGUGGUUGCUAGGCGGUUGCUAUGGUAACCUGGGUGGUUGCUAGGGUGUUGCUAGGCAGUUGGUAAGGUACUUGGGGCAGUUGCUAAGGUGUUGCUAGGCGGUUGCUAGGGUGUUAUGGGUGGUUGCUAGGCAGUUGCUAUGGUACUUGGGGUGGUUGCUAAGGUGUUGCUAGGCGGUUGCUAAGGUGUUCUGGGUGGUUGCUAGGCGGUUGCUAUGGUAACCUGGGUGGUUGCUAGGGUGUUGCUAGGCAGUUGGUAAGGUACUUGGGGCAGUUGCUAAGGUGUUGCUAGGCGGUUGCUAGGGUGUUAUGGGUGGUUGCUAGGCAGUUGCUAUGGUAACCUGGGUGGUUGCUAUGAUGUUACUAGGUGGUUGGUAGUUGUCACAGAUGGUUACUAUGGUGUUUUUAUAGAGUUCUUAGCAUGUUCUUAGACACUUUAGCACUUAGCUAAUCACUAUUAGCAUGUAGCUAUUCACUGCUAGCAUGUGUAGCAUGUUGGAAGUCCAGUUUGCUAGCAUGAGUCAAAAGAGCCAACCGCCAUGUCUCUACGAUGUUCUGAUGCAGAGAUAUAGGUCUUGCAAAACGGUUGCUAGGGUACUCUAUUUGGUUGCUAGGGAGUGGCUUGGCAGCUACCAAUGAUGAUACUCCAAAGGCUGCUUGCCAGUAUGAAUGAUAUAAACCAACCCCCAUGCCUCUAUGAUAUUCAGAUUUGAAGAUAUCCCUCUAUGCUUUGGGUUGCUAGGGUGCUCUAAAUGGUUGCUAGGGCGUGGCUAUGAAGUCUUGAAGGUGAUUCGUGAUUGGCCGUUUGCUGUCCUGAGUCAAAUGAGCCCACCCUCAUGUUCCUAUGACACUUCUAUCCAAAGGAAUAUCUUUGAUCUUUUUGAAUGGAAGUCUAUGGAACCUGUUGCUAUGGUGCUCUAUAUGGUUGCUAGGGCGUGGCUUGAUAGCGUCACAUUGAUCCUGAGAGACUGAUUGGUUGCCUGAGUGAAAUGAGCCCGCCCCCUUGUCUCUAUGACACUGUGAUCAAUAGUGAGAGAUGUGAGUGAGUGAGAGAAAGGGUUCUAAGGCCCUGCGUGUGUGUGCGUGUGUGAGAAAGUGACAGUUGAGAUUCAAAUUUCUGAACAUUCCGCCAUUGAAAGUCAAUGGGACUUUUUUGGCCGCUUUUUCGCCCCCUGUGCGAACAUCGUUGGGCCGAUCGCUUAUAAAAGUCAUAGCACACCUCUCCUCAAUGAGCCGGUCGAUUUGACACCUCAUUCAUGGGUCUAGGACAAAAACUGCGGGACAAGUUACGCGCCGAAGUUUUUGUCCAGAAGAAGAAGAAGAAUAAUAAUAAUAAUAAUAAUAAUAAGUAUGCAGGAGAACAAUAAUGAUGCUUUGCCUUUGGCAAGCACCAUUAACUAGAAUGUACAUUUCCUGAAGAAAAUGUGAAUGGUGCUUGCAGUGGCAAAACUCGGCACUCGGUUGCUAGGGUGUUUCUAGGCAAUUGCUAAGGUGUUCUGGGUGGUUGCUAGGCGGUUGCUAUGGUAACCUGGGUGGUUGCUAGGGUGUUGCUAGGCAGUUGCUAAGGUACUUGGGGUGGUUGCUAAGGUGUUGCUAGGCGGUUGCUAGGGUGUUCUGGGUGGUUGCUAGGCGGUUGCUAUGGUAACCUGGGUGGUUGCUAGGGUGUUGCUAGGCAGUUGCUAAGGUACUUGGGGCAGUUGCUACGGUGUUGCUAGGCGGUUGCUAGGGUGUUCUGGGUGGUUGCUAGGCGGUUGCUAUGGUAACCUGGGUGGUUGCUAGGGUGUUGCUAGGCAGUUGGUUAGGUACUUGGGGCUGUUGCUACGGUGUUGCUAGGCGGUUGCUAGGGUGUUAUGGGUGGUUGCUAGGCAGUUGCUAUGGUAACCUGGGUGGUUGCUAUGAUGUUACUAGGUGGUUGGUAGUUGUCACAGAUGGUUACUAUGGUGUUUUUAUAGAGUUCUUAGCAUGUUCUUAGACACUUUAGCACUUAGCUAAUCACUAUUAGCAUGUAGCUAUUCACUGCUAGCAUGUGUAGCAUGUUGGAAGUCCAGUUUGCUAGCAUGAGUCAAAAGAGCCAACCGCCAUGUCUCUACGAUGUUCUGAUGCAGAGAUAUAGGUCUUGCAAAACGGUUGCUAGGGUACUCUAUUUGGUUGCUAGGGAGUGGCUUGGCAGCUACCAAUGAUGAUACUCCAAAGGCUGCUUGCUAGUAUGAAUGAUAUAAACCAACCCCCAUGCCUCUAUGAUAUUCAGAUUUGAAGAUAUCCCUCUAUGCUUUGGGUUGCUAGGGUGCUCUAAAUGGUUGCUAGGGCGUGGCUAUGAAGUCUUGAAGGUGAUUCGUGAUUGGCCGUUUGCUGUCCCGAGUCAAAUGAGCCCACCCUCAUGUUCCUAUGACACUUCUAUCCAAAGGACUAUCUUUGAUCUUUUUGAAUGGAAGUCUAUGGAACCUGUUGCUAUGGUGCUCUAUAUGGUUGCUAGGGCGUGGCUUGAUAGCUUCACAUUGAUCCUGAGAGACUGAUUGGUUGCCUGAGUGAAAUGAGCCCGCCCCCUUGUCUCUAUGACACUGUGAUCCAGAGUUAUGUUCAAUACAAAAUCCCUAUGUAAUUUCCCAUAGUAGGAAAAACACACUGUUUUAUGGGCACGGCUUCACCAUAGUAAGUCUAUGGGGCAAAUUUGGGCAGCUCUUGCGCCCCAGGGGUACAACUUACACCCCAUUUUGAGGUAUGGUCUGACAGAGACUGUCAGCCUCUUCAAACGUGGUAACCCACAUGUUUCUACGAAAUUCUCGUUAGGAGCUAUGACUCGUCAAAGUUUGUCGCAAUGUUAAGUCAAUGGGAUUUUUCGGCUACUUUUUCGCCCGCUGGACGAACAUCGUACACCCAAUCGCUUAUAAAAGUCAUAGCACACCUCUCCUCAAUAAUCCGCACGAUUUGACACCUCAUUCGUGGGUCUAGGACAAAAGCUGCGGGACAAGUUACGCGCCGAAGUUUUGUCCAGAAGAAGAAGAAGAAUAAUAAUAAUAAUAAUAAUAAUAAGUAUGCAGGAGAACAAUAAUGAUGCUUUGCCUUUGGCAAGCACCAUUAACUAGAUAAAAAAGUUCGUCGAGACAAACUUUAAGUUGGCUUGAAAAAGUUGGUCCAGAAAGUUUAAAGUAGUUUAUAAAGUUUAAAGUUUUAGUUUAGUAGUUUUGAGACAGACAGACGGACAGACAGACAGACAGACAGACAGACAGACAGACAGAUAGAUAGAUAGAUAGAUAGAUAGAUAGAUAGAUGAGAAGUGAUAGAUGAGAAGUGAUAGAUAGAUAGAUAGAUAGAUAGAUAGAUAGAUAGAUAGAUAGAUAGAUGAGUUUAUGAGUUUGAAUGAGGAUGGAUAGAUGAGAAGUGAUAGAUAGAUAGAUAGAUAGAUAGAUAGAUAGAUAGAUAGAUGAGAAGUGGUAGAUGAGAAGAGAUAGAUAGAUAGAUAGAUAGAUAGAUAGAUAGAUAGAUAGAUAGAUAGAUAGAUAGAUGAGAAGUGGUAGAUGAGAAGAGAGAUAGAUGAGAAGUGAUAGAUAGAUAGAUAGAUAGAUAGAUAGAUAGAUAGAUAGAUAGAUA
This is a long non-coding RNA of Ctenopharyngodon idella (grass carp), 3943 nucleotides long. RefSeq lists it as uncharacterized. NCBI's taxonomy places the organism in Eukaryota, Metazoa, Chordata, Actinopteri, Cypriniformes, Xenocyprididae. The record is from RefSeq and is a predicted model, not a curated record. The transcript is spliced from 4 exons.